Molecule: ribosomal RNA, 433 nt
Filed under: uncultured bacterium
Lineage: Bacteria
Description: partial 16S ribosomal RNA
Rfam family: Bacterial small subunit ribosomal RNA
Source: RNAcentral
AACGAACGCUGGCGGCAGGCCUAACACAUGCAAGUCGAGCGCGCCCUUCGGGGUGAGCGGCGGACGGGUGAGUAACGCGUGGGAACGUGCCCUUUUCUACGGAAUAGCCUCGGGAAACUGAGAGUAAUACCGUAUACGCCCUUUGGGGGAAAGAUUUAUCGGAAAAGGAUCGGCCCGCGUUGGAUUAGGUAGUUGGUGGGGUAAUAGCCUACCAAGCCGACGAUCCAUAGCUGGUUUGAGAGGAUGAUCAGCCACACUGGGACUGAGACACGGCCCAGACUCCUACGGGAGGCAGCAGUGGGGAAUCUUAGACAAUGGGGGCAACCCUGAUCUAGCCAUGCCGCGUGAGUGAUGAAGGCCUUAGGGUUGUAAAGCUCUUUCAGCUGGGAAGAUAAUGACGGUACCAGCAGAAGAAGCCCCGGCUAACUCCGUG